CCUACGGGAGGCAGCAGUGAGGAAUAUUGGUCAAUGGGCGCGAGCCUGAACCAGCCAAGUCGCGUGAGGGAGGACGGCCCUACGGGUUGUAAACCUCUUUUGCCGGGGAGCAACGGGCGUCACGUGUGGCGCCCCUGAGAGUACCCGGAGGAAAAGCAUCGGCUAACUCCGUGCCAGCAGCCGCGGUAAUACGGAGGAUGCGAGCGUUAUCCGGAUUUAUUGGGUUUAAAGGGUGCGUAGGCGGAUCGUUAAGUCAGUGGUCAAAUUGAGGGGCUCAACCCCUUCCCGCCAUUGAAACUGGCGCUCUUGAGUGGAAGAGAAGUAUGCGGAAUGCGUGGUGUAGCGGUGAAAUGCAUAGAUAUCACGCAGAACCCCGAUUGCGAAGGCAGCAUGCCGGCUUCCGACUGACGCUGAAGCACGAAAGCGUGGGGAUCGAACAGGAUUAGAUACCCCAGUAGUC
RNAcentral lists this ribosomal RNA (460 nucleotides) under uncultured bacterium. Its description in RNAcentral is "partial 16S ribosomal RNA". It matches the Rfam family "Bacterial small subunit ribosomal RNA", at positions 338 to 795 of the family's 1533-position model. The record is from RNAcentral.